CUUUGAGCGCGACGAGCCACGAUCGUGGCUAUACCGUCAGAGCGCGAAGAGCCACGAUCGUGGCUUUAAAAGUGGUCUUUGAAACUAUGACUUUUUACAGCAAAAUACCGCUGAUCGUUCAUUAAAAAUGGUAGCAUUGAAUAGAGCACAUUUUUCUCUAUCUUUUGGUAUAUUGUUGUUAUAUAUUUGGUUUUGAAAAUGAGCGACAGUGAAGAAAGUUGCAUGGAUGACGAGAGUUGUACCAGCGAAGAAUUUUUAAGUUCCAGCGAUGACAGUUUGUUUGAUGAAGGCACGAUAACUUCAAUUAAAAAAUUAUUUGAUAGCAAUUAUGUGUGAUCACACUUUCUAUUUUCUGAAACCAUCUGCGUGCAUUUCAAUUGCAAGAUAUAUGAUCACCUAUGGAAUCAAUUAGAGUUAAUUGGAAAUGAGCAAGUUGUGCUGAUGUAGGAGUCACUGCAUACUCUAUAUGUAGAUACAUUCAUAUGUAAAGAAAAAGAGAUAAAAGUAUAUGGUUGGCUAUAAUAUGGAAAGUUCAAAAAGUACAAAUCCGCAAAGCAUAAAGUAUAAAUAUGGAAUCUGGAAGCACUGAAAAAGCAUUGUGUUGAAUCUGGAUACAAUAUAGAGAGAAAAAAUAGUAAGUGUAUUUAUAUAAAUUAGUAAGUGUAAAAAGUGUAUUUAUAUAAAUAGUAAGUGUAUUAUAUAAAAAUUUAAUAAUAAUAUUUAUAUUUUAAUAAAAAGUUAAAGAGUUCGUUUAAUUUUUUUAAACUAUUUUUUAUUAUAUUAUAUUAAUGUUUUUGUUAUUUUUAAACUGAUAAUUUUGCUUAUGGUCUACUAUUUGAUGAAUUUAUUUAUGGUCCAUCAUAUCAAGAACACAAGAUACGAUCAUAAUGUUAAUAGACCACUGGUGUUGAUUCAAAGAUAUAUGUUUGACUACAAUCAAGAGAAUGCGAGAAAAAACGCAAAAAGAAAGAAAGAUAACAGUUAUUUGUUCUAAAAGCAUAUAUAUAAUAUAUAUAUAUAUAUAUAAAUUUUUAUUUAACUUUUUUUAUACAAUAUUUAGAGCAACAAUUUAUGUCAUUAAUAAUUGCAGAAUAUAUUUAUGUCAUGA
Molecule: long non-coding RNA, 1108 nt
Organism: Hydra vulgaris (swiftwater hydra)
Lineage: Eukaryota; Metazoa; Cnidaria; Hydrozoa; Anthoathecata; Hydridae
Source: RefSeq, a predicted model, not a curated record